GUGUCAGCAGCCGCGGUAAUACGUAGGGUGCGAGCGUUGUCCGGAAUUAUUGGGCGUAAAGAGCUCGUAGGCGGUGUGUCACGUCGUUCGUGAAAACCUGCAGCUUAACUGUGGGCGUGCGGUCGAUACGGGCAUCACUGGAGUUCGGCAGGGGAGACUGGAAUUCCUGGUGUAGCGGUGAAAUGCGCAGAUAUCAGGAGGAACACCGGUGGCGAAGGCGGGUCUCUGGGCCGAUACUGACGCUGAGGAGCGAAAGCGUGGGGAGCAAACAGGAUUAGAUACCCCCGUAGUCC
RNAcentral lists this ribosomal RNA (293 nucleotides) under uncultured bacterium. RNAcentral's name for it is "partial 16S ribosomal RNA". It matches the Rfam family "Bacterial small subunit ribosomal RNA", at positions 505 to 796 of the family's 1533-position model. The record is from RNAcentral.